RNAcentral lists this ribosomal RNA (599 nucleotides) under uncultured Glomus. Its description in RNAcentral is "SSU rRNA". It matches the Rfam family "Eukaryotic small subunit ribosomal RNA", at positions 624 to 1225 of the family's 1831-position model. Lineage: Eukaryota; Fungi; Glomeromycota; Glomeromycetes; Glomerales; Glomeraceae. The record is from RNAcentral.
AAGCUCGUAGUUGAAUUUCGGGAUCAAAUUGUCGGUCGUGCCUCGGUACGUACUGGCGUUAUUGGUUCCUCCCUUCUGAAGAACCGCGAUGUCAUUAAUUUGGUGUCGCGGGGAAUCAGGACUGUUACUUUGAAAAAAUCAGAGUGUUUAAAGCAGGCUCGCGCUUGAAUACAUUAGCAUGGAAUAAUGAAAUAGGACGUUUGAUUCUAUUUUGUUGGUUUCUAGGAUCGACGUAAUGAUUAAUAGGGAUAGUUGGGGGCAUUAGUAUUCAAUUGUCAGAGGUGAAAUUCUUGGAUUUAUUGAAGACUAACUACUGCGAAAGCAUUUGCCAAGGAUGUUUUCAUUAAUCAAGAACGAAAGUUAGGGGAUCGAAGACGAUCAGAUACCGUCGUAGUCUUAACCAUAAACUAUGCCGACUAGGGAUCGGAUGAUGUUAAUUUUUUAAUGACUCAUUCGGCGCCUUACGGGAAACCAAAGUGUUUGGGUUCCGGGGGGAGUAUGGUCGCAAGGCUGAAACUUAAAGGAAUUGACGGAAGGGCACCACCAGGGGUGGAGCCUGCGGCUUAAUUUGACUCAACACGGGGAAACUCACCAGGUCC